CCAUGAUGUACUCAGGGGAGCUCAAGU
This 27-nucleotide non-coding RNA is filed under the name Homo sapiens (human). The record is from RNAcentral. Lineage: Eukaryota; Metazoa; Chordata; Mammalia; Primates; Hominidae.